AGCGCGGCACCUCGACCGGAAUCUCCUAGGUGAAGGAGGACCUUCUAGUGGAAGUGAAGGGAAGAGCCAGCAGCCGAGUGGGGGAGUCUUCUCUAGAGCGACCAGUUGGAGGGGGGUAGUGGUUGGUUGGGGUAAGCGCCGGCCGAGGAGCGAGGUGGGGUGGGGAUGCCGGGAUGGAGUGGCCGCGGAGAGGGCCGACUGGAGAGAGGAGGCAGCAGCAGCGCGGCAGCCUCCGGGAGCACUCCGAACCUAACCUAGACUCGGCGGCGAGGCGAGUCGCAAGUGGUACCUCAACCGCCAUCCGCGGAGCCUCCGGUGGUAGUUCAGGGACGACUGGUUCGAGCCCUCGGAAGACCGUCUCGUCAUGCGGAACCGGGCGCCGCAGGCGUCGCUGUAGGUCAAGUAGUUGCUGCUCGAGCGCUCGUACGUCCGGAAGGAGUCGUUGGAGCCGUUGUCGUGGCUGCUGGUGCUGCUGGUCUGGUUCCUGACCUACUUCGUCCAGGCGCUGCAGAGGAUGCUGUAACUCCUGACGCAGCUGCUGAAGUGGUUGCCGGAGGCUGGCCUAGGGGUCGCGCUGCUGACCGCAAGGUUCCGGGCGCCCAAGGAGAUGCUCUAGACCUGUAAUUCAGCGGCCUCUUCGUAUCGACGGGUCUAGCGCCUGGAGUUCGUCGCCCGCGUCGUACACCCGCUCGCGGCGCCGUCCAUACCGCAGGCGCUGGGCUUAGGGCCGUCGCCCUUCUCACCAAACCUACCCAUAUGGUGACGGCUCGUGGUCCUCUAUUGGGCAGCUGAAUAGCCGUAGGUCUCCGGUCAACCCCACCUGUAUCGUCUCGAGCUCUUCACCUAAUUUAGAGGUCUCUUCUUCGCCUCACAAUAUAGGUAUAUGCCUAAACCGCCGCACCCUUUUUGGUGCCGGCGGUACCGUGACAUGGCCUCGACGCCCCAAGUAAAGUGCACAGCCCGUUACCAGUGGCACAGUGUAGUGUGACUGGGACUACAUCAAGAGGCACUCUAUGACUCCGUUCAGUUCUACGUUCACUUCCUAGUCGUUCAGGUCUUAUCAUGGCAUUUGUGGAGCCUCUUCUUCUUAGGUCGUCGUCGCCGAGGGGGGGCCUACGAGUCGUCCGACUCGGUUAAGGCCGACAUAAUGGCGUUAGUUCUAUUCCUACCAUUUCGGAGCCCGUUCCUCGCGGUUGACUAUUAUCUACUAGAGAACUUUGUGGAGUCCUUUUUAUCCAUGAAUGACAAUUAACUGCUGCAGACCAGUAGUAGAUACACCGUCUGUUAGAACUUGACGAACGGUCUUUUACUACUUUUAUCGUCUUAUUAACACUGGUGUGCUAAACUUCGACAACGUUUCUGAAGUGUGAACCUGGUACUAGUGAAAGUAGUCUACCUAGGAGAAAGACACUUUAUACGGCUCGUGAACAAAUUGUGUUCAAACAGGCUCACGUCCCUACGAGUUUCGUCAUUCUGUUCGGUCUCGCUAGUUCAAGGUGGGUCUCAGACCUUCUACACACCACCGGACGGUAAUGGGUAUCAAUGGUACCGACCAGAGUACCGUAGGUUGUUCGAGUACUUCGCUCUCCUUACCUUAUUUCAAACGCUCCGAAACAAAGGUCUACUUGUUCAUACGGUAUUUGGUCUCCUUAAAUACUCCUAUUAGUUAAUGACGAUGUCACGAAACGGAUCACUAGAGUUCUGAACGAGAGACAUAAAAUCGUAGAAAGGUUUCCCAGCGUCAUAGUCGUUCUUCGCCGAUUAGUCCUCCACCUAUCGCCUUCCGAAACAGUCGCUCUUCGUUCCCGACUCGCACCUACUACAACGUCUCUGCACGAAAUUAGUCGAAUAAUUUUCCGUCUAUUAUGCCGGACAUGUCUUGUCGUGGCUACCGUUCCACUUCUCGACAGUUCAGGUACUGUACCAGGAACUCAUGUAAUAUUGGUUCCGUCGGCUUCUCUUAAAGCAAUGACACCAACCACCGGUCACCAGGUAUGGUUGAGCAUCGUCGUUUCAGGCGUCCUACAGCGAGGUGUCGUCACUGAGGUUUGUACGUUCCUUUCGUAUACCUUACUUGAACAGAGUACAGGCUAGUGACUGACACAAACCCUCGGAUCUCGUUGUCGCCAAAUUUAGUAAGUUCUGACCUUAUCACGUUCAUGAUCUGGAGCUUCCAACGUCGCCAAAGUUCCGUUUCGUACGGUCACAGAGCCUGUAGACAUUUUACUGAGAAGAGUUCAUGGACUCGGAGGCUCCUUGUCUGUAGUCGCAUGAUGGUGGCUUGUAGCCCCCAGAGUUCAUAAACCUUUGUGACCUGUAUUCCGUCUGCCUUCAACUUCUUGACGGAUUUUGACAUCAAGACGACCUUGCUUAGUCGUUAUAUGAACCUCCUCUAUUCUCUUGUGCCUUUCGGAACUUCAACGGAUUUCUCUACUUCUUCCCUCGUUACUUUUGGGACGCGCAUGACAGACCCUAACUCUAGUGACUCCUUAGCUGACGGCAUAGUUUGGAGGUACUUGAUUGACCCGACUUCUUCAACCGGUAAAUGUUCGAAGUGUUCAGACUGGUACUACUAAACGAGAGGAGAUAGGUCAUGGAACCGCCAAUAAGAGAAUUUUGAGAACACUAACUACUACUCAGUAGACUCAAGGUACUAUUUGACCCGUUUUACAGCUGCGGAGGUCAUAUGGACUUACGAGAUCUCGACAGGCCGUUCAACACAUUGAAGGGUAGUACCUAGUGAUUUGAGUCCCUGUAACAGUUCAAUUGGGAAAGUCGUUGUGAAGACCCUGGUCUUUUAGACCUCACGGAAUCCCUGAACUUCUGUAAUAAAAGAGAGUGGAAAAGUCAUGUACGUUGUUUUGUGCUAGGACUAUAACGUCGGUAAGAAGUGUUCUUGUUUAGACUAAUACCGCCACUCUAGAAAAAAGGUGGACCUCCCAAACGAUUAGAGUUCAACAAGGCGUAGAAGUGUGGGUAAGAGGGUAGUGACUUGAAGAGUCUUCCCCGCUACGGCCCCGAGCUUUCCGAACGUAACACAAAGUUUAACAACCUUCCAGAAGUACCGCACCUCUUUGAAUUUUCAGAGGUACUGCACUAGAACUGUCAACUACCUCUUCGUCCAUCGUGCUGGGUCAGCUAUUAUUUACUAGACUUUCUUCGUUUUCUCUGUCGUUUUUCAUUGAUACAGGAUCUGUAGUUCCUCUUAUCACACUACUUGACUUCGUAGCUGCACGAUACCACAAAGAAGACAGAAUGACUUAGUAGGCUGGAACGACAUAGUAGUCCGCAGUCACUUCUACAACGGAAAUACGUAACGUAUGAGUCAAUGUAAAACCACCCACACACACAACGGGAAAAAAACGGUUACAAAAGCAUGAGGGACAACCUCAACUAAGAGGCUCAGGAGAAGAGAAAACCGACGAUGUAUGUAGAGGGAAAAGAGUGAGAACUAAACAUAGUCACAGUGUGUGUGUGCGUG
RNAcentral lists this ribosomal RNA (3481 nucleotides) under Triticum aestivum (bread wheat). RNAcentral describes it as "partial small subunit ribosomal RNA". Lineage: Eukaryota; Viridiplantae; Streptophyta; Magnoliopsida; Poales; Poaceae. The record is from RNAcentral.